This 405-nucleotide ribosomal RNA is filed under the name uncultured bacterium. RNAcentral's name for it is "bacterial SSU rRNA". It matches the Rfam family "Bacterial small subunit ribosomal RNA", at positions 28 to 433 of the family's 1533-position model. The record is from RNAcentral.
GAUGAACGCUGGCGGCGUGCCUAACACAUGCAAGUCGAACGAUGAAACCGCCCUCGGGCGGACAUGAAGUGGCGAACGGGUGAGUAACACGUGACCAACCUGCCCCUUGCUCCGGGACAACCUUGGGAAACCGAGGCUAAUACCGGAUACUCCUCGCCCCCCUCUGGGGGCCCGGGAAAGCCCAGACGGCAAGGGAUGGGGGUCGCGGCCCAUUAGGUAGUAGGCGGGGUAACGGCCCACCUAGCCCGCGAUGGGUAGCCGGGUUGAGAGACCGACCGGCCACAUUGGGACUGAGAUACGGCCCAGACUCCUACGGGAGGCAGCAGUGGGGAAUUUUGCGCAAUGGGGGAAACCCUGACGCAGCAACGCCGCGUGCGGGACGACGGCCUUCGGGUUGUAAACCGC